RNAcentral lists this ribosomal RNA (1454 nucleotides) under Macrostylis sp. ML08. RNAcentral describes it as "SSU rRNA". It matches the Rfam family "Eukaryotic small subunit ribosomal RNA", at positions 8 to 1279 of the family's 1831-position model. The record is from RNAcentral. Lineage: Eukaryota; Metazoa; Arthropoda; Malacostraca; Isopoda; Macrostylidae.
UUGAUCCUGCCAGUAGUCAUAUGCUUGUCUCAAAGAUUAAGCCAUGCAUGUCUGAGUACAGACCGAUCUAAGGUGAAACCGCGAAUGGCUCAUUAAAUCAGUCGUAAUUUCUUGGAUAGUGAAAAACUUUCCUCGGAUAACUGUGGAAAAUCCAGAGCUAAUACGUGCAACUGAGCUCCGACCUGGGCGCRAGCCUUGGGAAGAGCGCAUUUAUUAGAUUCAAAACUGACCGGCGUACUCCUUCGGGAUACGUCGUUCGUCAAAUGUUUGAUGACUCCGGAUAACUUAGCCGAGCGCUACGGUCUUUAGUACCGGCGCCGUAUCUUUCAAGUGUCUGCCUUAUCAGCUUUCGAUUGUAGGUUAAACGCCUACAAUGGCUGUAACGGGUAACGGGGAAUCAGGGUUCGAUUCCGGAGAGGGAGCCUGAGAAACGGCUACCACAUCUAAGGAAGGCAGCAGGCACGCAAAUUACCCACUCCCAGCCCGGGGAGGUAGUGACGAAAAAUAACGAUGCGAGACUCUUCCGAGGCCUCGCAAUCGGAAUGAGUCCAUCCUAAAUCUUUGGACGAGGAUCCAUUGGAGGGCAAGUCUGGUGCCAGCAGCCGCGGUAAUUCCAGCUCCAAUAGCGUAUAUUAAAGUUGCUGCGGUUAAAAAGCUCGUAGUUGGACUUUCUAGAUCCAUUUCGUGGGUGGGUCGCUCGUUGUACUGGCGAUUCGCGCCAGUCACUGGUCGACGUCGUGCGGAGAGUCGUACUUYUACUAAGUUGGCUUUACGGCUUUCGAUAGGGGAGACUUCCCUCUCUCGGCAAACUUUCCAGCGGACGGCGUUUCUCGGUCUUCGGGUAUAGCUCGCCCGCGUUUGGUACAAUUAAAAUUUUGUCGGCUCGCUCGGAGUGCUCUUUACCGAGUGUUCCAGGGUGGCCGACACGUUCACUUUGAAAAAAUUAGAGUGCUUAAAGCGGGCUGUAAAAACGGCCGGAAUGUCUGUGCAUGGAAUGAAGUAACAGGACCUCGAUUCUGUUCUUUUUGUCGGUUUUAAUGAACCGAGGUAAUGAUUAAAAGGGACAGACGGUGGCAUUAGUAUUGCGACGCUAGAGGUGAAAUUCUUGGACCGUCGCAAGACUAACUACUGCGAAAGCAUUUGCCGAGAAUGUUUUCAUUAAUCAAGAACGAAAGUUAGAGGAUCGAAGGCGAUCAGAUACCGCCCUAGUUCUAACCCUAAACUAUGCUAACUAGCGAUCCGCCGAAGUCAUUCCCACGACUCGGCGGGAAGCCCCAGGGAAACCAAAGUCUUUGAGUUCCGGGGGAAGUAUGGUUGCAAAGCUGAAACUUAAAGGAAUUGACGGAAGGGCACCACCAGGAGUGGAGCCUGCGGCUUAAUUUGACUCAACACGGGAAACCUCACCAGGCCCGGACAUCAUAAGGAUUGACAGAUUGAGAGCUCUUUCUCGAUUU